GAUGAACGCUAGCUACAGGCUUAACACAUGCAAGUCGCGGGGCAGCAUGGGGGUUGCUUGCACUCCCUGAUGGCGACCGGCGCACGGGUGAGUAACGCGUAUCCAACCUGCCCUUCACCACGGGAUAACCCGGCGAAAGUCGGACUAAUACCGUAUGUUGUCCAUUGACGGCAUCCGAUUUGGACGAAAGGCUUAGCGGUGAGGGAUGGGGAUGCGUCCGAUUAGCUUGACGGCGGGGUGACGGCCCACCGUGGCUACGAUCGGUAGGGGUUCUGAGAGGAAGGUCCCCCACACUGGAACUGAGACACGGUCCAGACUCCUACGGGAGGCAGCAGUGAGGAAUAUUGGUCAAUGGGCGUAAGCCUGAACCAGCCAAGUAGCGUGCAGGAUGACGGCCCUAUGGGUUGUAAACUGCUUUUAUGCGGGGAUAAAGGGACCCACGUGUGGGUUUUUGCAGGUACCGCAUGAAUAAGGACCGGCUAAUUCCGUG
RNAcentral lists this ribosomal RNA (490 nucleotides) under uncultured bacterium. RNAcentral describes it as "partial 16S ribosomal RNA". It matches the Rfam family "Bacterial small subunit ribosomal RNA", at positions 28 to 507 of the family's 1533-position model. The record is from RNAcentral.